This 515-nucleotide ribosomal RNA is filed under the name uncultured bacterium. RNAcentral's name for it is "partial 16S ribosomal RNA". It matches the Rfam family "Bacterial small subunit ribosomal RNA", at positions 28 to 523 of the family's 1533-position model. The record is from RNAcentral.
GAUGAACGCUGGCGGCGUGCCUAAUACAUGCAAGUCGAGCGAAUGGAUUAAGAGCUUGCUCUUAUGAAGUUAGCGGCGGACGGGUGAGUAACACGUGGGUAACCUGCCCAUAAGACUGGGAUAACUCCGGGAAACCGGGGCUAAUACCGGAUAACAUUUUGAACCGCAUGGUUCGAAAUUGAAAGGCGGCUUCGGCUGUCACUUAUGGAUGGACCCGCGUCGCAUUAGCUAGUUGGUGAGGUAACGGCUCACCAAGGCAACGAUGCGUAGCCGGCCUGGGAGGGGGUGCGGCGACACUGGGACUGAGACACGGCCCAGACUCCUACGGGAGGCAGCAGUAGGGAAUCUUCCGCAAUGGACGAAAGUCUGACGGAGCAACGCCGCGUGAGUGAUGAAGGCUUUCGGGUCGUAAAACUCUGUUGUUAGGGAAGAACAAGUGCUAGUUGAAUAAGCUGGCACCUUGACGGUACCUAACCAGAAAGCCACGGCUAACUACGUGCCAGCCGCCGCGGUAA